Molecule: long non-coding RNA, 1021 nt
Organism: Gossypium arboreum
Lineage: Eukaryota; Viridiplantae; Streptophyta; Magnoliopsida; Malvales; Malvaceae
Exons: 4
Source: RefSeq, a predicted model, not a curated record
CAAGCCAUCUAAGCAUAUUGCGACUUCAAUAUUUGGGGUCUUCAUUUUUGCAUGCUGAGUUAUAAAGCAAAACAUAAAGUUUUUUUGAAUUUGUGGAUUUUUUGUUUUUCGCGUUGGAUGCUGAUGUUUGUCUUUUCCAUUGUAUUCCGUUGGUAAUAUUUUGGUGCAGCUGCUGAUCUGUUGUUGUGGAGGAACAAGAAGAUUUCAGCUGGUGUGCUUGGUGUAGCAACUGCAAUCUGGGUCCUUUUUUAAUUAAUGGAAUACCACCUACUUACUCUACUUUGUCACACUUUUAUUCUAUCUAUUGCACUAAUAUUCCUGUUUUCCAAUGCCUAUACCUUCAUCCACAAGACUCCACCUCACAUCCCAGAAGUUCAUUUGCCGGAAGAGCCAUUCCUCCUAGUUGCCUCUGCUCUUACACUGGAACUUAAUCAGGCACUGAAACUACUGCGAGAUAUUGCCUCUGGAAGAAAUCCAAAGAAGUUCCUUAUGAAGAACGCCAUCCAUGUUUUGGGUUUCAGGUUAUAGCUGCUUCCUGGGUCCUGUCAAUUGUGGGGAGUUGGUGCAACUUCUUGACCUUGUUCUACAUAGCUUUUAUAUUGCUGCAUAUGGUGCCGGUUUUCUAUGAGAAAUAUGAGGAGAAGGUUGACCUGUUUGCAGAGAAGGCGAUGGUUGAGAUAAAAAAGCAAUAUGCAGUUUUCAAUGUCAAAGUUCUGAGUAAAAUUCCAAUAGGUCCCUUGAAGACCAAGAAAGUUUAGAAUGCUUUGCACUGCAGCAACAUUUGGGUAGUCCUGGGGGUUUCAAGGGUGUGGUUGUAUUCUCUAUUCACAUUAGGUAGAGGUAUUAUUUCUCAAUCCUCGAUCAACUGUUCACAAAUGUUUUGCCUUGCAAUUCAGAAUAUAAUCGUUUAGGAGCAAUGAGUUGUUAACAAUAGACCGAACUUUUUACAUAUGGCUGCAACCCGAUUUUGUGUUAUAGCACGUAUUAUUUCUUGACCGGUUUGAUUUCUGGGAUGUUUUAC